UGAUUCUAAUACAUCGGUUUUAAAAAAAAACCCUUAAACGUUUAGGAUUACGCAAAACAACAAAAAAGCACUAAAAUGACAUUGCAGCAGCAGAGUUUUUGAAAUAAGAUACAAGAUAACAAUGCACUACUAUAAAGAUGUAUAAUUGAUUAAUAAGUAAUUACUUGAAAUCCAUCUACAUAUUUACACCAGCCCAGUAUCAUUUUAUACGUUUGUUUUUCCACUUGUCUAGGUAAGCUACCGGCUGUGAUGGUAAGGUACCAUCUUUAAUGAUGCGCAGGGCCGUAGUUUCCAAGACAGAACUGCACAAUGGGUACAUGACUGCAAGAUCCUGCUCCCUCGAAUAUAACGGGAAGAAUAUUUUAACUGUACACAUUAUACGUAUAUAAGUAUCCAGUUAAAUUCUGAAUGCUUGAAGUCUUUAAAUGCACGGACAGGAUGUACCCCUGCGGAAAAUCUAUUUUUAGGAGUCCGGUGGGAAUUGGAUAGCGGGUUAAAGGUCGCCUUUGUAGCUGAAAGUUUGUAGUGGCUGGGACAGAACUACGGGGUGGCGGUCACUGCACACUCCUCAUCUCGCGAAAAUUAAAAAUUAAAGACAGCCUGUUAAGGAACAGUUAGUUUCCUUGCUGACGCGAUCAUGGUGUGACCUUCAGGGCUACAUUUGGAAAUACAAGCAGCCGUUUAUCUGGAGCGCGUGGUUCCACCAAAGUCAGUCACAAACUGAAGAACAACACAUUUUCACGCAAGAGUGUGGCACGGAGCACCACCCACCGCUUUGGCCAGCUUGCAGGCCUGGUCCGGCGAGUUGAGAAUCUCAUAGAAGAAGACGGAGAAGUUGAGGGCCAGACCCAGACGGAUGGGGUGUGUGGGCUGCAUCUCGUUCUUGCUGAUGUCAAACGCUGCCUGGUAAGCCUCCUGCGAGUUGGUGAUGAUGG
Molecule: long non-coding RNA, 935 nt
Organism: Brienomyrus brachyistius
Lineage: Eukaryota; Metazoa; Chordata; Actinopteri; Osteoglossiformes; Mormyridae
Exons: 2
Source: RefSeq, a predicted model, not a curated record